CACGCCACUAUACCUGUCUGUCAGAGUGACUGAGUAUGAUCCAGUAGAGGCUCAGAGUCAACCCAACUCUAGGAAACAGGUCUGCCCCAAACCAAUGGACAACUCUGUGCCGUAAAGAUUGGAACAAUU
Molecule: small nucleolar RNA, 129 nt
Organism: Pseudoliparis swirei
Lineage: Eukaryota; Metazoa; Chordata; Actinopteri; Perciformes; Liparidae
Product: small nucleolar RNA SNORA65
Exons: 1
Source: RefSeq, a predicted model, not a curated record